AAACUUCCUCCCCCUUCGGGUUUUGUUACUAUCGUUGGGGGGUUUUGGCCUAAUGGGAUAGCGAUUGGCAAUUCGUUUCCCAAUGUCCUAAAUAGACGUAGACCCGCCUCCAGAUGCGACAGCACCGAGGCCAUCAACCGUGGAGUUAUGGGAUAUAAUAGGCUUGCAGUAAAAUGCUCACCUCUCUCCACACGCCGAUGGCACGACAGUUGCAGUUGCGGGCGUAAAUUGGAGCCCUUUUCAGGACCCUUGUGGCCUAGCAUCCACCAUACAUA
This 275-nucleotide unclassified non-coding RNA is filed under the name Morchella arbutiphila. Its description in RNAcentral is "partial internal transcribed spacer 2". The record is from RNAcentral. Lineage: Eukaryota; Fungi; Ascomycota; Pezizomycetes; Pezizales; Morchellaceae.